This 130-nucleotide unclassified non-coding RNA is filed under the name soil metagenome. RNAcentral describes it as "partial internal transcribed spacer 1". The record is from RNAcentral.
CUGGGUGGCUUCGGCCUAAACCCCCAACCAUUGUGAACGAUACCAGUGGCUUAGCCGGCGGCGGUGAACAACUGCCCUGGCGGCACAAGACUCUUCUAAUGUUAUCUCUGAGUCACUUUUAAAUAAGUCA